UACGCAUUUCACCGCUACACAGGAAAUUCCACCACCCUCUACCGUACUCUAGCUCAGUAGUUUUGGAUGCAGUUCCCAGGUUGAGCCCGGGGAUUUCACAUCCAACUUGCUGAACCACCUACGCGCGCUUUACGCCCAGUAAUUCCGAUUAACGCUUGCACCCUUCGUAUUACCGCGGCUGCUGGCACGAAGUUAGCCGGUGCUUAUUCUGUUGGUAACGUCAAAACAGCAAGGUAUUAACUUACUGCCCUUCCUCCCAACUUAAAGUGCUUUACAAUCCGAAGACCUUCUUCACACACGCGGCAUGGCUGGAUCAGGCUUUCGCCCAUUGUCCAAUAUUCCCCACUGCUGCCUCCCGUAGGAGUCUGGACCGUGUCUCAGUUCCAGUGUGACUGAUCAUCCUCUCAGACCAGUUACGGAUCGUCGCCUUGGUAGGCCUUUACCCCACCAACUAGCUAAUCCGACCUAGGCUCAUCUGAUAGCGUGAGGUCCGAAGAUCCCCCACUUUCUCCCUCAGGACGUAUGCGGUAUUAGCGCCCGUUUCCGGACGUUAUCCCCCACUA
Molecule: ribosomal RNA, 563 nt
Filed under: Pseudomonas aeruginosa
Lineage: Bacteria; Pseudomonadati; Pseudomonadota; Gammaproteobacteria; Pseudomonadales; Pseudomonadaceae
Description: partial 16S ribosomal RNA
Source: RNAcentral